AUUAUCAUUUUUGAUAUUGUUUUUCUCCAUGACUAUAACAAUUCGAUUAUAAUCAUCAAACCGUAGAGAUAUUUGAUAGCAUUUAAUUACUACAAAAUUAUAAAAUAUUUAGACAAUAAUUCAUAAAAAUAUCAUAAAUAAGAUCAAUAUUAAUAAAAUAAAUGGUUUUUUUACGGGACGGGUUGGCGGGACGGGUUUGGCAGGACGUUACUUAAUAACAAUUGUAAACUAUAAAAUAAAAAUAUUUUAUAGAUAAAUACAAUUUGCAAAGUUUUAUGUAUAGUAACUUUAAAAAAUAAAUUGUUUCCGCGGUGUACCGCGGGUUAAAAUCUAGUAUAUAUAUAUAGAACUAAAACCAUUACAAAAAGAAAAGAUUUCGCCUUUUUAAUGAUGGAUAAUUCUAAAGCCUAU
RNAcentral lists this small RNA (411 nucleotides) under Arabidopsis thaliana (thale cress). RNAcentral describes it as "ATSL303430". Lineage: Eukaryota; Viridiplantae; Streptophyta; Magnoliopsida; Brassicales; Brassicaceae. The record is from RNAcentral.